RNAcentral lists this transfer RNA (661 nucleotides) under uncultured bacterium. RNAcentral's name for it is "16S-23S intergenic spacer". The stretch from base 275 to 348 matches the Rfam family "tRNA". The record is from RNAcentral.
AGAGAACGACUUCUCCUCCGCAAGACGCCCACACAAGACACCUGCAUUUCAGAAACAGAGAACAGAGGCGGCAGACACGCAUGUCAGCCGCGGAUCUGUAGUCAGUUCCAUCUCAUGGGGCUGUAGCUCAGCUGGGAGAGCACCUGCUUUGCAAGCAGGGGGUCACCCGGUUCGAUCCCGGUCAGCUCCACCAGUUGUUAAUUGGACGCGGGUCCGUCCGCGGAGAGCAGAUCAAGAAGCGCACCUCCGUGUGCGCACUCCUGUAAAAGCAGACGGGUCUGUAGCUCAGGUGGUUAGAGCGCACCCCUGAUAAGGGUGAGGCCGGUGGUUCGAGUCCUCCCAGACCCACCAUCAAGACCUACGCGGAUCCGUCCGCGAAGAGCGGAGAUCAAGACCGCAACAUCCAUGUUGCGGACUCCUCACAGACAGCCGCUUCGUCGAAGCGCUUCCGGUUUCUGAAUUGCACACGCACACGAAUUUAUGCCAACGGGCUAUGAAGCCCGCCUGGUGUUCUUUGAAAACUUGGGAUGUGACAAGCGUCUUGACUCGAUCGAGCCAAGAUGUGUCGUUGAGGCAUAUAGGCGAAACAGUUGUGGAUCCGUAUCACCCUCGCGCCACCCGCCGCACGUAAGAGCGGCCGGAAAGGCGUCUUGGGGUUAUA